CUCAGAUUUCUUGUGAUGCCUUAUAGGUUUCAUUGGAUAACUGAAGGCAUUGCAAGUAGUGGAUGGUUAUUGUGAAUAACCAUCAACAGCUUUCAAUGCCUUUUGUUCUCCAAUGAAUUAUAUAAGUCAUGAAGCAAGCAGCUGGAACAUAUCUGAG
Molecule: non-coding RNA, 157 nt
Organism: Marchantia polymorpha subsp. ruderalis
Lineage: Eukaryota; Viridiplantae; Streptophyta; Marchantiopsida; Marchantiales; Marchantiaceae
Source: the annotation of a GenBank genome assembly